Molecule: long non-coding RNA, 216 nt
Filed under: Elaeis guineensis (African oil palm)
Lineage: Eukaryota; Viridiplantae; Streptophyta; Magnoliopsida; Arecales; Arecaceae
Description: long non-coding RNA (EGUI_LNC062016)
Source: RNAcentral
CAAGCUUUCUUAGGUCCUUUUUGGUUAGUUACAGUGGUUCCUUUUAGAACCCAUAUUUUCUUCACAUUAGAAUUUUUAGAUUUGUUAGAGAAAUAAGUAUAGGAUUUGUGUCCUACUUCACCAUAUUUAAAGCAAGUAGUAUUUGAAAACUUGUUGGUUGAUGAGUUUGCAUAGAUGUUUUUCAAGAAUUUUUGUUUCUUUAAAGGGUUGUAGCCA